RNAcentral lists this unclassified non-coding RNA (202 nucleotides) under Hevea brasiliensis (rubber tree). The record is from RNAcentral. Lineage: Eukaryota; Viridiplantae; Streptophyta; Magnoliopsida; Malpighiales; Euphorbiaceae.
AUAACAGAAGCCAAAGCAGAUCUAACGUGCUGUGAUGAGUCGGAUGACAAUUCCUUCACAGACGGAAGAAUAUGCUGUAAAGAAAGCUCAGGACUAAGAAUCUGACUGAAUUUGGUGGCUUUCCCUGCAGCAGCUAUACGCACUUCCGCUUCAUUAUCCCGCAGCAAACGCACAUAAGAAGGAACCAGGUCCUUCCUGCUCG